UGGGGAAGGAUGAGAAGCUUCGACUAAGGUUCGACUCGAGCGAAGCGAGAGAACGUUGCCGCAGGCAACGGCCCGAAGGGCGAGGCGCUUUAGCGCCGAGUAAUCCUUCCCCCACCACCA
This 120-nucleotide small RNA is filed under the name Klebsiella pneumoniae. RNAcentral describes it as "RtT sRNA". It matches the Rfam family "RtT RNA". Rfam says of the family: This family represents a bacterial cis-regulatory element known as RtT RNA. The exact function of RtT is unknown although it is thought that it may be involved in changing the cellular response in relation to amino acid starvation. The record is from RNAcentral. Lineage: Bacteria; Pseudomonadati; Pseudomonadota; Gammaproteobacteria; Enterobacterales; Enterobacteriaceae.